Molecule: ribosomal RNA, 431 nt
Filed under: uncultured bacterium
Lineage: Bacteria
Description: partial 16S ribosomal RNA
Rfam family: Bacterial small subunit ribosomal RNA
Source: RNAcentral
AACGAACGCUGGCGGCAGGCUUAACACAUGCAAGUCGAACGCCCCGCAAGGGGAGUGGCAGACGGGUGAGUAACGCGUGGGAACAUACCCUUUCCUGCGGAAUAGCUCCGGGAAACUGGAAUUAAUACCGCAUACGCCCUACGGGGGAAAGAUUUAUCGGGGAAGGAUUGGCCCGCGUUGGAUUAGCUAGUUGGUGGGGUAAAGGCCUACCAAGGCGACGAUCCAUAGCUGGUCUGAGAGGAUGAGCAGCCACAUUGGGACUGAGACACGGCCCAAACUCCUACGGGAGGCAGCAGUGGGGAAUAUUGGACACUGGGCGCAAGCCUGAUCCAGCCAUGCCGCGUGAGUGAUGAAGGCCUUAGGGUUGUAAAGCUCUUUCACCGAUGAAGAUAAUGACGGUAGUCGGAGAAGAAGCCCCGGCUAACUUCGUG